UGCGUAGGUGGUUUCUUAAGUCAGAGGUGAAAGGCUACGGCUCAACCGUAGUAAGCCUUUGAAACUGGGAAACUUGAGUGCAGGAGAGGAGAGUGGAAUUCCUAGUGUAGCGGUGAAAUGCGUAGAUAUUAGGAGGAACACCAGUUGCGAAGGCGGCUCUCUGGACUGUAACUGACACUGAGGCACGAAAGCCAGGGGAGCAAACG
Molecule: ribosomal RNA, 206 nt
Filed under: uncultured bacterium
Lineage: Bacteria
Description: partial 16S ribosomal RNA
Rfam family: Bacterial small subunit ribosomal RNA
Source: RNAcentral